UACGUAGGUGGCAAGCGUUGUCCGGAAUUAUUGGGCGUAAAGCGCGCGCAGGCGGCCUUUUAAGUCUGAUGUGAAAGCCCACGGCUCAACCGCGGAAGGUCAUUGGAAACUGAAAGGCUUGAGUACAGAAGAGGAAAGCGGAAUUCCACGUGUAGCGGUGAAAUGCGUAGAGAUGUGGAGGAACACCAGUGGCGAAGGCGGCUUUCUGGUCUGUAACUGACGCUGAGGCGCGAAAGCGUGGGGAGCAAACAGG
Molecule: ribosomal RNA, 253 nt
Filed under: uncultured bacterium
Lineage: Bacteria
Description: partial 16S ribosomal RNA
Rfam family: Bacterial small subunit ribosomal RNA
Source: RNAcentral